Molecule: ribosomal RNA, 522 nt
Filed under: Triticum aestivum (bread wheat)
Lineage: Eukaryota; Viridiplantae; Streptophyta; Magnoliopsida; Poales; Poaceae
Description: partial small subunit ribosomal RNA
Source: RNAcentral
AUGCCGUUUGGACUGACGAACGCGCCGGCAACGUUCCAGUACCUUAUGAAUGCAAUCUUCGCCAAGUACAUGCGUAAAUUCGUUAUUAUAUUCCUGGAUGACAUUUUGAUCUUCAGUGAAACUCUGGACGAGCACCUGGAACAUCUUCACCUUGUUCUCGCUCUGCUUCGGGAGCACCAACUGUUUGCGAAGGAAUCCAAAUGCUCGUUCGCGCAAGACAACAUCUCCUACCUGGGCCACAUCAUCUCCAAGCAAGGCGUAGCCACGGACCCAGAGAAGACACAAGCAAUGGUGGCAUGGCCGGUUCCUGCAACUGCCACUGAGCUCCGCGGCUUCCUCGGCCUCACCGGCUACUACCGCAAGUUCAUUGCGCACUACGGCAUCAUUGCCAAGCCACUGACAAGUCUAUUGACCAAGAAGGGCUUUGAGUGGACAGAAAAAGCUCAGGUGGCAUUCGAUCUCCUCAAGCGCGCCAUGGUGACCGCGCCAGUGCUUGCGCUCCCAGAUUUUGCACGCCCGUUU